RNAcentral lists this ribosomal RNA (2923 nucleotides) under Escherichia coli. RNAcentral describes it as "23S ribosomal RNA". It matches the Rfam family "Bacterial large subunit ribosomal RNA". Lineage: Bacteria; Pseudomonadati; Pseudomonadota; Gammaproteobacteria; Enterobacterales; Enterobacteriaceae. The record is from RNAcentral.
GGGUUGUGAGGUUAAGCGACUAAGCGUACACGGUGGAUGCCCUGGCAGUCAGAGGCGAUGAAGGACGUGCUAAUCUGCGAUAAGCGUCGGUAAGGUGAUAUGAACCGUUAUAACCGGCGAUUUCCGAAUGGGGAAACCCAGUGUGUUUCGACACACUAUCAUUAACUGAAUCCAUAGGUUAAUGAGGCGAACCGGGGGAACUGAAACAUCUAAGUACCCCGAGGAAAAGAAAUCAACCGAGAUUCCCCCAGUAGCGGCGAGCGAACGGGGAGCAGCCCAGAGCCUGAAUCAGUGUGUGUGUUAGUGGAAGCGUCUGGAAAGGCGCGCGAUACAGGGUGACAGCCCCGUACACAAAAAUGCACAUGCUGUGAGCUCGAUGAGUAGGGCGGGACACGUGGUAUCCUGUCUGAAUAUGGGGGGACCAUCCUCCAAGGCUAAAUACUCCUGACUGACCGAUAGUGAACCAGUACCGUGAGGGAAAGGCGAAAAGAACCCCGGCGAGGGGAGUGAAAAAGAACCUGAAACCGUGUACGUACAAGCAGUGGGAGCCUCUUUAUGGGGUGACUGCGUACCUUUUGUAUAAUGGGUCAGCGACUUAUAUUCUGUAGCAAGGUUAACCGAAUAGGGGAGCCGAAGGGAAACCGAGUCUUAACUGGGCGUUAAGUUGCAGGGUAUAGACCCGAAACCCGGUGAUCUAGCCAUGGGCAGGUUGAAGGUUGGGUAACACUAACUGGAGGACCGAACCGACUAAUGUUGAAAAAUUAGCGGAUGACUUGUGGCUGGGGGUGAAAGGCCAAUCAAACCGGGAGAUAGCUGGUUCUCCCCGAAAGCUAUUUAGGUAGCGCCUCGUGAAUUCAUCUCCGGGGGUAGAGCACUGUUUCGGCAAGGGGGUCAUCCCGACUUACCAACCCGAUGCAAACUGCGAAUACCGGAGAAUGUUAUCACGGGAGACACACGGCGGGUGCUAACGUCCGUCGUGAAGAGGGAAACAACCCAGACCGCCAGCUAAGGUCCCAAAGUCAUGGUUAAGUGGGAAACGAUGUGGGAAGGCCCAGACAGCCAGGAUGUUGGCUUAGAAGCAGCCAUCAUUUAAAGAAAGCGUAAUAGCUCACUGGUCGAGUCGGCCUGCGCGGAAGAUGUAACGGGGCUAAACCAUGCACCGAAGCUGCGGCAGCGACACUAUGUGUUGUUGGGUAGGGGAGCGUUCUGUAAGCCUGUGAAGGUGUGCUGUGAGGCAUGCUGGAGGUAUCAGAAGUGCGAAUGCUGACAUAAGUAACGAUAAAGCGGGUGAAAAGCCCGCUCGCCGGAAGACCAAGGGUUCCUGUCCAACGUUAAUCGGGGCAGGGUGAGUCGACCCCUAAGGCGAGGCCGAAAGGCGUAGUCGAUGGGAAACAGGUUAAUAUUCCUGUACUUGGUGUUACUGCGAAGGGGGGACGGAGAAGGCUAUGUUGGCCGGGCGACGGUUGUCCCGGUUUAAGCGUGUAGGCUGGUUUUCCAGGCAAAUCCGGAAAAUCAAGGCUGAGGCGUGAUGACGAGGCACUACGGUGCUGAAGCAACAAAUGCCCUGCUUCCAGGAAAAGCCUCUAAGCAUCAGGUAACAUCAAAUCGUACCCCAAACCGACACAGGUGGUCAGGUAGAGAAUACCAAGGCGCUUGAGAGAACUCGGGUGAAGGAACUAGGCAAAAUGGUGCCGUAACUUCGGGAGAAGGCACGCUGAUAUGUAGGUGAAGUCCCUCGCGGAUGGAGCUGAAAUCAGUCGAAGAUACCAGCUGGCUGCAACUGUUUAUUAAAAACACAGCACUGUGCAAACACGAAAGUGGACGUAUACGGUGUGACGCCUGCCCGGUGCCGGAAGGUUAAUUGAUGGGGUCAGCGCAAGCGAAGCUCUUGAUCGAAGCCCCGGUAAACGGCGGCCGUAACUAUAACGGUCCUAAGGUAGCGAAAUUCCUUGUCGGGUAAGUUCCGACCUGCACGAAUGGCGUAAUGAUGGCCAGGCUGUCUCCACCCGAGACUCAGUGAAAUUGAACUCGCUGUGAAGAUGCAGUGUACCCGCGGCAAGACGGAAAGACCCCGUGAACCUUUACUAUAGCUUGACACUGAACAUUGAGCCUUGAUGUGUAGGAUAGGUGGGAGGCUUUGAAGUGUGGACGCCAGUCUGCAUGGAGCCGACCUUGAAAUACCACCCUUUAAUGUUUGAUGUUCUAACGUGGACCCGUGAUCCGGGUUGCGGACAGUGUCUGGUGGGUAGUUUGACUGGGGCGGUCUCCUCCUAAAGAGUAACGGAGGAGCACGAAGGUUGGCUAAUCCUGGUCGGACAUCAGGAGGUUAGUGCAAUGGCAUAAGCCAGCUUGACUGCGAGCGUGACGGCGCGAGCAGGUGCGAAAGCAGGUCAUAGUGAUCCGGUGGUUCUGAAUGGAAGGGCCAUCGCUCAACGGAUAAAAGGUACUCCGGGGAUAACAGGCUGAUACCGCCCAAGAGUUCAUAUCGACGGCGGUGUUUGGCACCUCGAUGUCGGCUCAUCACAUCCUGGGGCUGAAGUAGGUCCCAAGGGUAUGGCUGUUCGCCAUUUAAAGUGGUACGCGAGCUGGGUUUAGAACGUCGUGAGACAGUUCGGUCCCUAUCUGCCGUGGGCGCUGGAGAACUGAGGGGGGCUGCUCCUAGUACGAGAGGACCGGAGUGGACGCAUCACUGGUGUUCGGGUUGUCAUGCCAAUGGCACUGCCCGGUAGCUAAAUGCGGAAGAGAUAAGUGCUGAAAGCAUCUAAGCACGAAACUUGCCCCGAGAUGAGUUCUCCCUGACCCUUUAAGGGUCCUGAAGGAACGUUGAAGACGACGACGUUGAUAGGCCGGGUGUGUAAGCGCAGCGAUGCGUUGAGCUAACCGGUACUAAUGAACCGUGAGGCUUAACCUUACAACGCCGAAG